GAUGAACGCUGGCGGCGUGCCUAAUACAUGCAAGUCGAGCGAACGGACGAGGAGCUUGCUCCUUUGACGUUAGCGGCGGACGGGUGAGUAACACGUGGAUAACCUACCUAUAAGACUGGGAUAACUUCGGGAAACCGGAGCUAAUACCGGAUAAUAUAUUGAACCGCAUGGUUCAAUAGUGAAAGACGGUUUUGCUGUCACUUAUAGAUGGAUCCGCGCCGCAUUAGCUAGUUGGUAAGGUAACGGCUUACCAAGGCAACGAUGCGUAGCCGACCUGAGAGGGUGAUCGGCCACACUGGAACUGAGACACGGUCCAGACUCCUACGGGAGGCAGCAGUAGGGAAUCUUCCGCAAUGGGCGAAAGCCUGACGGAGCAACGCCGCGUGAGUGAUGAAGGUCUUCGGAUCGUAAAACUCUGUUAUUAGGGAAGAACAAAUGUGUAAGUAACUGUGCACGUCUUGACGGUACCUAAUCAGAAAGCCACGGCUAACUACGUG
RNAcentral lists this ribosomal RNA (497 nucleotides) under uncultured bacterium. RNAcentral describes it as "partial 16S ribosomal RNA". It matches the Rfam family "Bacterial small subunit ribosomal RNA", at positions 28 to 507 of the family's 1533-position model. The record is from RNAcentral.